AUGGCGGAGAGCCACGAGGUGGACCGCCGGGGCGAGUCCUUCUUGCUCUCGCUCUCCUCCUCCCGGCCGCCGCGCCGCCCGCCGCCGAAGAGGGUUGCCAGGAAGGACCGCCUCCGGUGGAAGGACUUCUUCCGCUCGCUCUCCCGGGGCUCGUCGUCGGCGGCGCGGGUGGCGGGGCCGACCUGCGGCGUGCUGAAGAAGAGGAGCUCGGGGCGGUGGCUGUGGCUGUGGCGGGACGACGUGUACGCGCAGGCGUCGGAGCGCCGGUGCUGCUGCGCCACCGGAGCGGCGGCGAAGGGCGACGCGCGCGCAGGCGAGCUGCCCCGGCUGCUGCUGCUGCUGCAGUCGGCGCCGCUGCUGGCCCCGGCCCCGGCCCGGUCGCGCUCGGCGGCGAGCACGAGGAGGCGGUCGCGGAGGCAGGGCGCGCAGACGCCCAGCGCGUUCGCGUACGGGUGGAGCUUGCACCUCAUCGGCCCUCCCCUCCUCGCCGGAUCACCAGGCGCGCAUCUCCGGCGAGGGGCGGUUGGGCUCGCGGAGGCAGAUCGCGGGCGGGGCACGAGGAGGAUCCGCGGAGCGUGCGGUGGUUGGGUGGGUUCGGAUUGCUGGAGCGUGCGCUGCAGCUUGGAUUUUUGUCGCCUUGGUUGGCUCGCUCGCUCGAGAGGGAGAGGGAGGACGGGACUGGAGGAGUGGUUGGGCGAUGCUGUAAUGCCCGGACGGACGGAUGGAUUUAUUUGGGACGGUGCGGUGCGGUACGGCCCCGGCCGCACCCUGGUCUACUCUAUCUAUUCCAAGGCACCGGUGCUGUUCCGUCUAGCGUUACGGAAUCACCCUCCUCUCAUCUCUCCGUUCGGUUUUAUUCGUUGCAAGUGA
Molecule: ribosomal RNA, 870 nt
Filed under: Triticum aestivum (bread wheat)
Lineage: Eukaryota; Viridiplantae; Streptophyta; Magnoliopsida; Poales; Poaceae
Description: partial small subunit ribosomal RNA
Source: RNAcentral